GACGAACGCUGGCGGCGUGCUUAACACAUGCAAGUCGAACGAAGAGCGAUGGAAGCUUGCUUCUAUCAAUCUUAGUGGCGAACGGGUGAGUAACGCGUAAUCAACCUGCCCUUCAGAGGGGGACAACAGUUGGAAACGACUGCUAAUACCGCAUACGAUCUAAUCUCGGCAUCGAGGAUAGAUGAAAGGUGGCCUCUACAUGUAAGCUAUCACUGAAGGAGGGGAUUGCGUCUGAUUAGCUAGUUGGAGGGGUAACGGCCCACCAAGGCGAUGAUCAGUAGCCGGUCUGAUAGGAUGAACGGCCACAUUGCGACUGAGGCACGGCCCAGACUACUACGGGAGGCAGCAGUGGGGAAGCUUCCGCAAUGGACGAAAGUCUGACGGAGCAACGCCGCGUGAGUGAUGACGGCCUUCGGGUUGUAAAGAUCUGUUAGUCGGGACGAAAGGCCUUCUUGCGAAUAGUGAGAAGGAUUGACGGUACCGGAAUAGAAAGCCACGGCUAACUACGUG
Molecule: ribosomal RNA, 510 nt
Filed under: uncultured bacterium
Lineage: Bacteria
Description: partial 16S ribosomal RNA
Rfam family: Bacterial small subunit ribosomal RNA
Source: RNAcentral